Molecule: ribosomal RNA, 787 nt
Filed under: uncultured archaeon
Lineage: Archaea
Description: bacterial SSU rRNA
Rfam family: Archaeal small subunit ribosomal RNA
Source: RNAcentral
ACCGUAGGGCCACGUGGAUAACCUGCCCUAAGGUGGAGGAUAAUUCCGGGAAACUGGGGAUAAUACUCCAUAGGUUAAAGAUACUGGAAUGUUCUUUAGCCGAAAGUUCCGGCGCCUUAGGAUGGAUCUGCGGCCGAUUAGGUUGUUGUUGGGGUAGUGGCCCAACAAGCCUGUAAUCGGUACGGGUUGUGGGAGCAAGAGCCCGGAGAUGGAAUCUGAGACACGAUUCCAGGCCCUACGGGGCGCAGCAGGCGCGAAAACUUUACAAUGCAGGAAACUGUGAUAAGGGAACCCCGAGUGCCCGUAUAUGCGGGCUGUCCGGAUGUUUAAAACGCAUCCGAAGAAAGGGCCGGGCAAGACCGGUGCCAGCCGCCGCGGUAAUACCGGCGGCUCGAGUGGUGGCCACUUUUAUUGGGCUUAAAGCGUUCGUAGCUUGAAUAAUAAGUCUCUUGGGAAAUCUGCAGGCUUAACCUGCAGGCGUUUAAGAGAAACUGUUGUUCUAGGAACCGGAAGAGGUGAGAGGUACUCCGGGGGUAGGAGUGAAAUCCUGUAAUCCCCGGGGGACCACCGAUGGCGAAGGCAUCUCACCAGGACGGCUUCGACAGUGAGGAACGAAAGCUGGGGGAGCGAACCGGAUUAGAUACCCGGGUAGUCCCAGCCGUAAACGAUGUGCGUUAGGUGUGCCGGUGACCACGAGUCACUGGGGUGCCGAAGGGAAACCGUGAAACGUACCGCCUGGGAAGUACGGUCGCAAGGCUGAAACUUAAAGGAAUUGGCGGGGGAGCAC